UUUCUUUCUGGAGGUUCCUCCUUGAUGAUGGUUUCCCCUAUGAACCUGGAAUCUUCUGAUACAGAAAUCCUGUUGCAGGAUUUUCCCAUCACAUCUGAGGAAAAGGCACGUGCAAUAUCCUGACUGCAUCUUCAUGAUAGCUGGGAGACCUGCUCAGAAGCCUGCGGAGCUUUGUGCUUCCACAGCAGGCAAAGGAAACUUCUUCUGAUGGAAACUUUCUGCUGUUCAGCCCCCCCUCCGCCUCUGCCUGCCAAAAGGAAAUCAAGGAGGCAGGACAGAAAAAAAAUGCUUUCACCUCUGACUGCUGAUGCCCUGCCCUUUGCAAAGCAGAACAAGACCCUGUUUGUCCUGGCUCCGUUUCUCAGUGCACCUUCAGAAGGUGCAAGAGCUUCUGAAAUGUCUUUCUGCUCAACGGAAAGGAGUGAGGGGUUGUAAUCUGAGCACAAAGCAGGCUCCCCAUGUGGAAAGUUAAAUGUCCCGACUUCCUGAUAUGUAAAUUCUUGUUUGCUCACACUGUUCGUGUAAAAGUAGUAUCUCAUCUCUAGAAUGCACUUCCAGCCUGACUGCAACCCUGCAUUUCUUUGUGUGCUGGGGGAAAUAGGGAGACAUGCA
Long non-coding RNA from Lagopus muta (rock ptarmigan), 612 nucleotides. RefSeq lists it as uncharacterized. NCBI's taxonomy places the organism in Eukaryota, Metazoa, Chordata, Aves, Galliformes, Phasianidae. The transcript has 2 exons. The record is from RefSeq and is a predicted model, not a curated record.